CGUAGCUCUUGCAAACGGGCUAUUAAUAAAAAUUUAGUACAAGCUUUUUCCCAGUUUCCUUUCGAUACCUUCGUCUAGCUCCUGCGAUAGCUUCUCUUCAUGGUUUUAAAAAAUAGCAUUUGCUCGCAGUUUUCAAUUUUAUUUAUAUCUCAGAGGUAUCUAUGUCUACUAAAACAACUGGUUCAGUAAAGUGGUUCAACGAAACUAAAGGCUUCGGCUUCAUUACACAAGAUAAUGGCGGACCUGACGUGUUUGUUCAUUUCAGAGCUAUUGCAUCUGAAGGUUUCAGAACGCUUAUUGAAGGCCAAAAAGUCAGCUUCAAUGUUGAACAAGGCCAGAAAGGCCCACAAGCAACAAAUGUAUCAUCGAUUUAAAAAUUUCAGGUGUAAUGUGAAAGCAUUACACCUAUCA
Molecule: small RNA, 411 nt
Filed under: Photobacterium ganghwense
Lineage: Bacteria; Pseudomonadati; Pseudomonadota; Gammaproteobacteria; Vibrionales; Vibrionaceae
Description: cspA thermoregulator
Rfam family: cspA thermoregulator
Source: Rfam by way of RNAcentral